AUCAACUUUCGAUGGUAGGAUAGAGGCCUACCAUGGUGGUAACGGGUAACGGGGUGUUAGGGCACGACACCGGAGAGGGAGCCUGAGAAACGGCUACCACAUCCAAGGAUGGCAGCAGGCGCGCAAAUUACCCAAUCCCGACACGGGGAGGUAGUGACAAUAAAUAACAAUACGGGGUUCUUUCGGAUCUCGUAAUUGGAAUGAGUACAAUUUAAAUCUCUUAACGAGGAACAAUUGGAGGGCAAGUCUGGUGCCAGCAGCCGCGGUAAUUCCAGCUCCAAUAGCGUAUAUUAAAGUUGUUGCAGUUAAAAAGCUCGUAGUUGAAUUUCGGGGUUAGUAGGCUGGUCAUGCCUCUGGUAUGUACUGGUCUCACUGAUUCCUCCUUCCUGAUGAACCGUAAUGCCAUUAAUUUGGUGUUGCGGGGAAUUUGGACUGUUACUUUGAAAAGAUUAGAGUGUUUAAAGCAAGCUAACGCUUGAAUACAUUAGCAUGGAAUAAUGAAAUAGGACGUUCGAUCCUAUUUUGUUGGUUUCUAGGAUUGACGUAAUGAUUAAUAGGGAUAGUUGGGGGCAUUAGUAUUCAAUUGUCAGAGGUGAAAUUCUUGGAUUUAUUGAAGACUAACUACUGCGAAAGCAUUUGCCAAGGAUGUUUUCAUUAAUCAAGAACGAAAGUUAGGGGAUCGAAGACGAUCAGAUACCGUCGUAGUCUUAACCAUAAACUAUGCCGACUAGGGAUCGGAUGAUGUUAAUUUUUUAAUGACUCAUUCGGCGCCUUACGGGAAACCAAAGUGUUUGGGUUC
RNAcentral lists this ribosomal RNA (799 nucleotides) under uncultured Rhizophagus. RNAcentral's name for it is "SSU rRNA". It matches the Rfam family "Eukaryotic small subunit ribosomal RNA", at positions 314 to 1114 of the family's 1831-position model. The record is from RNAcentral. Lineage: Eukaryota; Fungi; Glomeromycota; Glomeromycetes; Glomerales; Glomeraceae.